RNAcentral lists this unclassified non-coding RNA (284 nucleotides) under plant metagenome. RNAcentral's name for it is "partial contains small subunit ribosomal RNA, internal transcribed spacer 1, and 5.8S ribosomal RNA". The stretch from base 1 to 53 matches the Rfam family "Eukaryotic small subunit ribosomal RNA", at positions 1779 to 1831 of the family's 1831-position model. The record is from RNAcentral.
GGAGUAAAAGUCGUAACAAGGUUUCCGUAGGUGAACCUGCGGAAGGAUCAUUAUUGUAUAACCGAGGUGCGAGGGCUGUCGCUGACCCGAAAGGUCGUGCACGCCCGAGUGCCCUCACACACAUCCAUCUCACCCCUAUGUGCACCACCGCGUGGGUCCCCCUUUGGCUUGUUCGGAGGGGGGCUUACGUUUUCACACAAACUUUGUAUGCAGUGUAGAAUGUAUUUUUUGUUUUUGCGAUCACGCAAUCAAUACAACUUUCAACAACGGAUCUCUUGGCUCUU